GCUCAACCUCGGGCGUGCGGUGGGUACGGGCAGGCUAGAGUGUGGUAGGGGAGACUGGAACUCCUGGUGUAGCGGUGAAAUGCGCAGAUAUCAGGAAGAACACCGAUGGCGAAGGCAGGUCUCUGGGCCAUUACUGACACUGAGAAGCGAAAGCAUGGGUAGCGAACAGGAUUAGAUACCCUGGUAGUCCAUGCCGUAAACGUUGGGCACUAGGUGUGGGGGACAUUCCACGUUUUCCGCGCCGUAGCUAACGCAUUAAGUGCCCCGCCUGGGGAGUACGGCCGCAAGGCUAAAACUCAAAGGAAUUGACGGGGGCCCGCACAAGCGGCGGAGCAUGCCGAUUAAUUCGAUGCAACGCGAAGAACCUUACCAAGGCUUGACAUGCACUGGACGGCUGCAGAGAUGUGGCUUUCUUUGGACUGGUGCACAGGUGGUGCAUGGUUGUCGUCAGCUCGUGUCGUGAGAUGUUGGGUUAAGUCCCGCAACGAGCGCAACCCUCGUUCUAUGUUGCCAGCACGUGAUGGUGGGGACUCAUAGGAGACUGCCGGGGUCAACUCGGAGGAAGGUGGGGACGACGUCAAAUCAUCAUGCCCCUUAUGUCUUGGGCUUCAAGCAUGCUACAAUGGUCGGUACAAUG
This 637-nucleotide ribosomal RNA is filed under the name uncultured bacterium. RNAcentral describes it as "bacterial SSU rRNA". It matches the Rfam family "Bacterial small subunit ribosomal RNA", at positions 607 to 1244 of the family's 1533-position model. The record is from RNAcentral.